AUUGAACGCUGGCGGCAGGCCUAACACAUGCAAGUCGAGCGGCAGCGGGAAAGUAGCUUGCUACUUUUGCCGGCGAGCGGCGGACGGGUGAGUAAUGCCUGGGGAUCUGCCCAGUCGAGGGGGAUAACUACUGGAAACGGUAGCUAAUACCGCAUACGCCCUACGGGGGAAAGCAGGGGACCUUCGGGCCUUGCGCGAUUGGAUGAACCCAGGUGGGAUUAGCUAGUUGGUGAGGUAAUGGCUCACCAAGGCGACGAUCCCUAGCUGGGCUGAGAGGAUGAUCGGCCACACUGGAACUGAGACACGGUCCAGACUCCUACGGGAGGCAGCAGUGGGGAAUAUUGCACAAUGGGGGAAACCCUGAUGCAGCCAUGCCGCGUGUGUGAAGAAGGCCUUCGGGUUGUAAAGCACUUUCAGCGAGGAGGAAAAGUUGGUAGCUAAUAACUGCCAGCUGUGACGUUACUCGCAGAAGAAGCACCGGCUAACUCCGUGCCAGCCGCCGCCGUAA
Molecule: ribosomal RNA, 508 nt
Filed under: uncultured bacterium
Lineage: Bacteria
Description: partial 16S ribosomal RNA
Rfam family: Bacterial small subunit ribosomal RNA
Source: RNAcentral